RNAcentral lists this ribosomal RNA (221 nucleotides) under uncultured bacterium. RNAcentral describes it as "partial 16S ribosomal RNA". It matches the Rfam family "Bacterial small subunit ribosomal RNA", at positions 96 to 334 of the family's 1533-position model. The record is from RNAcentral.
UGGCGCACGGGUGCGUAACGCGUGGGAAUCUACCCUUGGGUUCGGAAUAACAGUUGGAAACGACUGCUAAUACCGGAUGAUGACGAAAGUCCAAAGAUUUAUCGCCCAGGGAUGAGCCCGCGUAGGAUUAGCUAGUUGGUGGGGUAAAGGCCUACCAAGGCUACGAUCCUUAGCUGGUCUGAGAGGAUGAUCAGCCACACUGGGACUGAGACACGGCCCAG